This 468-nucleotide ribosomal RNA is filed under the name uncultured bacterium. RNAcentral describes it as "partial 16S ribosomal RNA". It matches the Rfam family "Bacterial small subunit ribosomal RNA", at positions 28 to 507 of the family's 1533-position model. The record is from RNAcentral.
GACGAACGCUGGCGGCGUGCUUAACACAUGCAAGUCGAACGGAAAGGCCCUGCUUUUGUGGGGUGCUCGAGUUGCGAACGGGUGAGUAACACGUGAGUAACCUGCCCUUGACUUUGGGAUAACUUCAGGAAACUGGGUCUAAUACCGGAUAGGAGCUCCUGCUGCAUGGUGGGGGUUGGAAAGUUUCGGCGGUUGGGGAUGGACUCGCGGCUUAUCAGCUUGUUGGUUGGGUAGUGGCUUACCAAGGCUUUGACGGGUAGCCGGCCUGAGAGGGUGACCGGCCACAUUGGGACUGAGAUACGGCCCAGACUCCUACGGGAGGCAGCAGUGGGGAAUAUUGCACAAUGGGCGGAAGCCUGAUGCAGCAACGCCGCGUGCGGGAUGACGGCCUUCGGGUUGUAAACCGCUUUCGCCUGUGACGAAGCGUGAGUGACGGUAAUGGGUAAAGAAGCACCGGCUAACUACGUG